This 69-nucleotide transfer RNA is filed under the name Centropristis striata (black sea bass). RNAcentral's name for it is "tRNA-Pro". It matches the Rfam family "tRNA". Rfam says of the family: Transfer RNA (tRNA) molecules are approximately 80 nucleotides in length. The record is from RNAcentral. Lineage: Eukaryota; Metazoa; Chordata; Actinopteri; Perciformes; Serranidae.
CAAAAAAUAGUUUAAUUAGAAUCUUAGCUUUGGGGGCUAAGGGCGGGAGUUCAAAUCUCCUUUUUUUGA